CCAGGCUCCAGAUUGUUCUACUCCUGAUGUCAGGAGGAAGCUGAUUUACCUUUGGAAUGAGAUAACCUCUGGGAUCCCUGAACAGUUAAAGGGCAGACGGAAAUAAGGCUUGGCAAUGAAGAUGGACAAGGAACAUAUGCCAGUGCACAUCUAUUAUAAGCCAUUUAUCCCAGACUGUGAUGCAAGUGUGCUUAAGUCUGAAAUGCAAGUGACUCGUACUUACAGGCAAAAUACAUUCCAGCUGAGGAAAAAAGGAUUUUUGUUGCUGAUUUAAUGGAGUGACAGCCUUUCAGAAGUCUUUAAAUUCACCAUUUUCACUGAUGUCACCCUGUUACCAGAAAGGAGUCCUAAUUCUGACCCCAAGAGAAGGUCCUUAAAUCUCGUGCAA
Molecule: long non-coding RNA, 388 nt
Filed under: Homo sapiens (human)
Lineage: Eukaryota; Metazoa; Chordata; Mammalia; Primates; Hominidae
Description: non-protein coding SGO1-AS1:11
Source: RNAcentral